RNAcentral lists this ribosomal RNA (1678 nucleotides) under Salmonella enterica subsp. enterica serovar Agona. Its description in RNAcentral is "partial 23S ribosomal RNA". It matches the Rfam family "Bacterial large subunit ribosomal RNA", at positions 556 to 2215 of the family's 2925-position model. The record is from RNAcentral. Lineage: Bacteria; Pseudomonadati; Pseudomonadota; Gammaproteobacteria; Enterobacterales; Enterobacteriaceae.
CCGUGUACGUACAAGCAGUGGGAGCACAGGUUUACCUGUGUGACUGCGUACCUUUUGUAUAAUGGGUCAGCGACUUAUAUUCUGUAGCAAGGUUAACCGCAUAGGGGAGCCGGAGGGAAACCGAGUCUUAAUUGGGCGUUAAGUUGCAGGGUAUAGACCCGAAACCCGGUGAUCUAGCCAUGGGCAGGUUGAAGGUUGGGUAACACUAACUGGAGGACCGAACCGACUAAUGUUGAAAAAUUAGCGGAUGACCUGUGGCUGGGGGUGAAAGGCCAAUCAAACCGGGAGAUAGCUGGUUCUCCCCGAAAGCUAUUUAGGUAGCGCCUCGUGAAUUCAUCUCCGGGGGUAGAGCACUGUUUCGGCUAGGGGGCCAUCCCGGCUUACCAACCCGAUGCAAACUGCGAAUACCGGAGAAUGUUAUCACGGGAGACACACGGCGGGUGCUAACGUCCGUCGUGAAGAGGGAAACAACCCAGACCGCCAGCUAAGGUCCCAAAGUCAUGGUUAAGUGGGAAACGAUGUGGGAAGGCCCAGACAGCCAGGAUGUUGGCUUAGAAGCAGCCAUCAUUUAAAGAAAGCGUAAUAGCUCACUGGUCGAGUCGGCCUGCGCGGAAGAUGUAACGGGGCUAAACCAUGCACCGAAGCUGCGGCAGCGACACUCAGGUGUUGUUGGGUAGGGGAGCGUUCUGUAAGCCUGCGAAGGUGGCCUGUGAGGGUUGCUGGAGGUAUCAGAAGUGCGAAUGCUGACAUAAGUAACGAUAAAGCGGGUGAAAAGCCCGCUCGCCGGAAGACCAAGGGUUCCUGUCCAACGUUAAUCGGGGCAGGGUGAGUCGACCCCUAAGGCGAGGCCGAAAGGCGUAGUCGAUGGGAAACGGGUUAAUAUUCCCGUACUUGGUGUUACUGCGAAGGGGGGACGGAGAAGGCUAUGUUGGCCGGGCGACGGUUGUCCCGGUUUAAGCGUGUAGGUGUGUGUUCCAGGUAAAUCCGGUUCACUUUAACACUGAGGCGUGACGACGAGGCACUACGGUGCUGAAGCAACAAAUGCCCUGCUUCCAGGAAAAGCCUCUAAGCAUCAGGUAACAUCAAAUCGUACCCCAAACCGACACAGGUGGUCAGGUAGAGAAUACCAAGGCGCUUGAGAGAACUCGGGUGAAGGAACUAGGCAAAAUGGUGCCGUAACUUCGGGAGAAGGCACGCUGACACGUAGGUGAAGUGAUUUACUCAUGGAGCUGAAGUCAGUCGAAGAUACCAGCUGGCUGCAACUGUUUAUUAAAAACACAGCACUGUGCAAACACGAAAGUGGACGUAUACGGUGUGACGCCUGCCCGGUGCCGGAAGGUUAAUUGAUGGGGUCAGCGCAAGCGAAGCUCCUGAUCGAAGCCCCGGUAAACGGCGGCCGUAACUAUAACGGUCCUAAGGUAGCGAAAUUCCUUGUCGGGUAAGUUCCGACCUGCACGAAUGGCGUAAUGAUGGCCAGGCUGUCUCCACCCGAGACUCAGUGAAAUUGAACUCGCUGUGAAGAUGCAGUGUACCCGCGGCAAGACGGAAAGACCCCGUGAACCUUUACUAUAGCUUGACACUGAACAUUGAGCCUUGAUGUGUAGGAUAGGUGGGAGGCUUUGAAGUGUGGACGCCAGUCUGCAUGGAGCCGACCUUGAAAUACCACCCUUUAAUGUUU